RNAcentral lists this ribosomal RNA (448 nucleotides) under Phenoliferia glacialis. Its description in RNAcentral is "partial large subunit ribosomal RNA". It matches the Rfam family "Eukaryotic large subunit ribosomal RNA", at positions 209 to 654 of the family's 3401-position model. The record is from RNAcentral. Lineage: Eukaryota; Fungi; Basidiomycota; Microbotryomycetes; Kriegeriales; Kriegeriaceae.
UGGUGAGAACCCCGUAACUGAUGCGGAUGCCCGGUGCUUUGUGAUACACUUUCGAAGAGUCGAGUUGUUUGGGAAUGCAGCUCAAAUUGGGUGGUAAAUUCCAUCUAAAGCUAAAUAUUGGCGAGAGACCGAUAGCGAACAAGUACCGUGAGGGAAAGAUGAAAAGCACUUUGGAAAGAGAGUUAACAGUACGUGAAAUUGUUGGAAGGGAAACGCAUGAGGUCAGACUUGCUAUUUGGAAUUCAGCCGCAAGGUGUACUUUUCAAUUCGCAGGCCAGCAUCAGUUUUCGGGGGUGGAAAAGGGUAGAGAGAAGGUGGCUGUUUCGGCAGUGUUAUAGCUCUUUACUGGAUUCAUCCUUGGGGACUGAGGAACGCAGCGCGCUUUUUGCAAGGCUUUCGAGCUUUUCGUGCUUAGGAUGCUGGUGGAAUGGCCUUAUACGACCCGUCU